CCAUAUACGACCGUACCGCAAACCGACACUGGUGCGCGAGAUGAGUAUUCUAAGGCGCUUGAGAGAACUCAGGAGAAGGAACUCGGCAAAUUGACACCGUAACUUCGGAAGAAGGUGUGCCCUAUUAGUGUGUAGUGAACAACGAAGCAUGAAUGGGUUGCAAAAAAUCGGUCGCUGCGACUGUUUAUUAAAAACACAGCACUCUGCAAACACGAAAGUGGACGUGUAGGGUGUGACGCCUGCCCGGUGCUGGAAGAUUAAAUGAUGGGGUGCAAGCUCUUGAUUGAAGUCCCAGUAAACGGCGGCCGUAACGAUAACGGUCCUAAGGUAGCGAAAUUCCUUGUCGGGUAAGUUCAGACCUGCACGAAUGGCGUAACGAUGGCCACACUGUCUCCUCCUGAGACUCAGCGAAGUUGAAAUGUUUGUGAUGAUGCAAUCUCCCCGCGGAAAGACGGAAAGACCCCAUAACCUUUACUGUAGCUUUGUAUUGGACUUUGAACAGAUCUGUGUAGGAUAGGUGGGAGGCUUUGAAGCAGGGUCGCUAGAUCUUGUGGAGCCAACGUUGAAAUACCACCCUGGUGUGUUUGAGGUUCUAACCUAGGUCCAUUAUCUGGAUCGGGGACAGUGCAUGGUAGGCAGUUUGACUGGGGCGGUCUCCUCCCAAAGCGUAACGGAGGAGUUCGAAGGUACGCUAGUUACGGUCGGACAUCGUGACGAUAGUGCAAUGGCAUAAGCGUGCUUAACUGCGAGACUGACAAGUCGAGCAGAUGCGAAAGCAGGACAUAGUGAUCCGGUGGUUCUGUAUGGAAGGGCCAUCGCUCAACGGAUAAAAGGUACUCUGGGGAUAACAGGCUGAUACCGCCCAAGAGUUCAUAUCGACGGCGGUGUUUGGCACCUCGAUGUCGGCUCAUCUCAUCCUGGGGCUGUAGCCGGUCCCAAGGGUAUGGCUGUUCGCCAUUUAAAGAGGUACGUGAGCUGGGUUUAAAACGUCGUGAGACAGUUUGGUCCCUAUCUUCCGUGGGCGCUGCAGAUUUGAGGAAGCCUGCUCCUAGUACGAGAGGACCGGAGUGGACACACCUCUGGUGUAUCGGUUGUCACGCCAGUGGCAUUGCCGAGUAGCUAAGUGUGGAAGAGAUAACCGCUGAAAGCAUCUAAGCGGGAAACUCGUUUCAAGAUGAGAUCUGCCGGGGCCUUGAGCCCCCUAAAGAGUCGUUCAAGACCAGGACGUUGAUAGGUCAGGUGUGGAAGCG
This 1250-nucleotide ribosomal RNA is filed under the name metagenome. Its description in RNAcentral is "bacterial LSU rRNA". It matches the Rfam family "Bacterial large subunit ribosomal RNA", at positions 1632 to 2875 of the family's 2925-position model. The record is from RNAcentral.